UUUUGGACAAUGGGGGCAACCCUGAUCCAGCAAUGCCGCGUGAGUGAAGAAGGCCUUCGGGUUGUAAAGCUCUUUUGUCAGGGAAGAAACGGUGGGGGCUAAUAUCCUCUGCUAAUGACGGUACCUGAAGAAUAAGCACCGGCUAACUACGUGCCAGCAGCCGCGGUAAUACGUAGGGUGCAAGCGUUAAUCGGAAUUACUGGGCGUAAAGCGUGCGCAGGCGGUUGUGCAAGACAGAUGUGAAAUCCCCGGGCUCAACCUGGGAAUUGCAUUUGUGACUGCACGGCUAGAGUGUGUCAGAGGGGGGUAGAAUUCCACGUGUAGCAGUGAAAUGCGUAGUUAUGUGGAGGAAUACCGAUGGCGAAGGCAGCCCCCUGGGAUAACACUGACGCUCAUGCACGAAA
This 404-nucleotide ribosomal RNA is filed under the name uncultured bacterium. RNAcentral describes it as "bacterial SSU rRNA". It matches the Rfam family "Bacterial small subunit ribosomal RNA", at positions 362 to 758 of the family's 1533-position model. The record is from RNAcentral.